GGUAAGAUGGCCGAGUGUUGAGGCGGUGGGUUGUAGUUCCAUGUACAGAGGUUUAAUUCCUUUUCUUAUCA
This 71-nucleotide transfer RNA is filed under the name Rhinomuraena quaesita (ribbon moray). RNAcentral's name for it is "tRNA-Tyr". It matches the Rfam family "tRNA". From Rfam's summary of the family: Transfer RNA (tRNA) molecules are approximately 80 nucleotides in length. The record is from RNAcentral. Lineage: Eukaryota; Metazoa; Chordata; Actinopteri; Anguilliformes; Muraenidae.